GCCCGUGUAGCUCAGUUGGUAGAGCAGCUGUCUUGUAAACAGCAGGUCGCAGGUUCGAUCCCUGUCGCGGGCU
Molecule: transfer RNA, 73 nt
Filed under: Acidimicrobiaceae bacterium
Lineage: Bacteria; Bacillati; Actinomycetota; Acidimicrobiia; Acidimicrobiales; Acidimicrobiaceae
Also listed under: 3 other names
Description: tRNA-Thr
Rfam family: tRNA
About the family: Transfer RNA (tRNA) molecules are approximately 80 nucleotides in length.
Source: RNAcentral